GACGGAGGGUGCGAGCGUUGUUCGGAUUGACUGGGCGUAAAGGGCGUGUAGGCGGUCGGCCAAGUCUGAUGUGAAAGCCCGAGGCUCAGCCUCGGAAGUGCGUCGGAAACUAGUCGGCUGGAGCGCGAUAGAGGAGGGUGGAAUUCCUGGUGUAGCGGUGAAAUGCGUAGAUAUCAGGAGGAACACCGGCGGCGAAGGCGGCCCUCUGGAUCGUUGCUGACGCUGAGACGCGAAAGCGUGGGGAG
This 245-nucleotide ribosomal RNA is filed under the name uncultured bacterium. RNAcentral's name for it is "partial 16S ribosomal RNA". It matches the Rfam family "Bacterial small subunit ribosomal RNA", at positions 524 to 768 of the family's 1533-position model. The record is from RNAcentral.